AUUGAACGCUGGCGGCAGGCCUAACACAUGCAAGUCGAGCGGAUGAAGGGAGCUUGCUCCUGGAUUCAGCGGCGGACGGGUGAGUAAUGCCUAGGAAUCUGCCUGGUAGUGGGGGAUAACGUCCGGAAACGGGCGCUAAUACCGCAUACGUCCUGAGGGAGAAAGUGGGGGAUCUUCGGACCUCACGCUAUCAGAUGAGCCUAGGUCGGAUUAGCUAGUUGGUGGGGUAAGGGCCUACCAAGGCGACGAUCCGUAACUGGUCUGAGAGGAUGAUCAGUCACACUGGAACUGAGACACGGUCCAGACUCCUACGGGAGGCAGCAGUGGGGAAUAUUGGACAAUGGGCGAAAGCCUGAUCCAGCCAUGCCGCGUGUGUGAAGAAGGUCUUCGGAUUGUAAAGCACUUUAAGUUGGGAGGAAGGGCAGUAAGUUAAUACCUUGCUGUUUUGACGUUACCAACAGAAUAAGCCCCGGCUAACUUCGUG
Molecule: ribosomal RNA, 484 nt
Filed under: uncultured bacterium
Lineage: Bacteria
Description: partial 16S ribosomal RNA
Rfam family: Bacterial small subunit ribosomal RNA
Source: RNAcentral